AUGGACACCAGACUGCAAUGUGCACUCGUGGUCUUGUGGCUUAAACUUGACUGGUUACGUGCAGAAGACCGAGUGGAGCAAAGUCCUCAGACCUGGAGAAUCCUGGAGGGCCAGAGUCUUGACCUCACCUGCAAUUACACUGUCAGUUAUUUCAGAGGCCUGUACUGGUACAGGCAAGAUCCUGGGAAAGGCCCUGAAUUCCUCUUCAGCCUGCUUUCAGCUGGGGAUAACAAGCACAAAGAUGGACUAAGAGCCACACUUUCCAAGGAAGGAAGUUCUCUGCACUUCACAGCCCCUAAACCUGAAGACUCAGCCACUUACCUCUGUGCUGUUGAGACACAGUGUUCCACAGGCACCUGUGUCCUCUACCCAAACCUGCAGCUGGGGUUCUAG
Non-coding RNA from Sorex araneus (European shrew), 393 nucleotides. NCBI's taxonomy places the organism in Eukaryota, Metazoa, Chordata, Mammalia, Eulipotyphla, Soricidae. The record is from the annotation of a RefSeq genome assembly.